GCCUGAGUAGCUUAGUUGGUUGAGCAUCAGACUUCAGCUCAGGUCUGAUCUCGGGGUCUGGGAUCGAGCCCUACUUCAGGCU
This 82-nucleotide transfer RNA is filed under the name Nyctereutes procyonoides (raccoon dog). It matches the Rfam family "tRNA". Rfam says of the family: Transfer RNA (tRNA) molecules are approximately 80 nucleotides in length. Their secondary structure includes four short double-helical elements and three loops (D, anti-codon, and T loops). Lineage: Eukaryota; Metazoa; Chordata; Mammalia; Carnivora; Canidae. The record is from Rfam by way of RNAcentral.